GUUAGUGUGGCAGAUUAGUGCGGAGGAUUUAAGCUCUUCAUAUAUAGGUUAUUAUCUCUAAUA
RNAcentral lists this transfer RNA (63 nucleotides) under Tinaminyssus melloi. RNAcentral's name for it is "tRNA-Leu". The record is from RNAcentral. Lineage: Eukaryota; Metazoa; Arthropoda; Arachnida; Mesostigmata; Rhinonyssidae.